AAAGCGACAAAAAACACACUUUUCACUUUUUUUUUUUUUUUUUUUUUUUUUUUUUUUUUUUUUUUUUUUUUUUUUUUUUUUUUUUUUUUUUUUUUUUUUUUUAAAAGAGGGGGUGUGGGGGCAAAUUUCGGAGUAAUAGGGGACGGAAGUGACGGGAAAAAAACCAAUUUCUGCAAAAAGCAGUUUAUUACGAAAUUAAAAAAGUGAGGGGGGUGAGGGGUACCUCGUUUUAAAGAGUAAAACGAGGCG
RNAcentral lists this unclassified non-coding RNA (249 nucleotides) under Melitaea cinxia (Glanville fritillary). Its description in RNAcentral is "misc RNA ENSMCXG00005003339.1". Lineage: Eukaryota; Metazoa; Arthropoda; Insecta; Lepidoptera; Nymphalidae. The record is from RNAcentral.